This is a long non-coding RNA of Ruditapes philippinarum (Manila clam), 372 nucleotides long. RefSeq lists it as uncharacterized. Lineage: Eukaryota; Metazoa; Mollusca; Bivalvia; Venerida; Veneridae. The transcript is spliced from 2 exons. The record is from RefSeq and is a predicted model, not a curated record.
ACACAUCCAGGUGGCCAUAUGGUGUAUCGGAUGAUUUACCAGGAACACAAUGUCUGGCAAUGGACGGCAGAUACAACUUCAAGUGGCAGGGAUUCUCCUGUGACAGACCUACUUACUUCUUAUGUGAAGAAAAGGUACCAUUCCGUUUAAACCAGACUCGUCCAGCUGUUGGCUAAAAGGAGGUAUAUAAAAAUAAAGACAUCAACAACAACAAAAAAGACAAUAUGGUUUAACAAAUGAUUUAUAUAGAGAUUUUAUUCACAUCAGAAAUGUCAGAGUUAAUUAAUAGAGUAUUUGACAACAGAGAAAAUAUUUAUUUCAGAAAUGUAAUAAAAUAAUUGUUAAUAUACAAUAAAGAAAAUAGUGUAAAAA